GGCUCAUCCAGAGGGGCAGAGGGAACGGCCCGUUGAAGCCCCGGCAACCGGCGUCGCACGACCAUCGCGCGUGACGAUCACGGUGCCAAUUCCGACCCGCACGUCGCGGGGAAGAUGAGGA
Molecule: regulatory RNA element, 121 nt
Rfam family: SAM riboswitch aptamer (S box leader)
About the family: The SAM riboswitch is found upstream of a number of genes which code for proteins involved in methionine or cysteine biosynthesis in Gram-positive bacteria. The SAM riboswitch acts at the level of transcription termination control. The predicted structure consists of a complex stem-loop region followed by a single stem loop terminator region.
Source: Rfam